This 1071-nucleotide long non-coding RNA is filed under the name Cyanistes caeruleus (blue tit). Its description in RNAcentral is "lncRNA (ENSCCEG00000023320.1)". The record is from RNAcentral. Lineage: Eukaryota; Metazoa; Chordata; Aves; Passeriformes; Paridae.
AUGUGUCCCGUGGCUGGGAUGGCUUUAGGGUCAUGGUGUGGCACUCCUGGAUUGUCCCCACAGUGUCAGGACAGGCACCUACAUCUAGGACACCUCUGGGACAGGGGGACUUGUGAAGAGAAAUGGGAUGAAGUUCUCAAAAUGAACCAACACAAAAACACAGAUUUGAAAACAGGGGCCAGAGCCACCUUCUGUUGUUUGCUUGCAACUUCUCCCAUCAUUGGGUCUGAAACAGCAUCUCCUCUUGUGCCAGUGGAGCCCUCGGGCUGUCCAUGUGGCCACGGGGCACAGGAGCAUCAGCCUGCACUGGCAGGAGAGGCUCAGCUGGGCUCCCAGCAUCAGCCCUUCAGUGGCAGCUCCAGUUUCCCCCUACCCUACACUGUCCCCAGCCUGGUGUCCCCAGCCCUCUGUGUCCUCACCUUCCCCAGCACGGGGCUCAGGCCAUGGGGAUGUUUCAUUCCAGACCCUUCCCCAAGGAGCCAGGGAUCCUCCUGUCCCCCAGCCCUGCUCCCUCCCUGGCCUGGGAUGUUUCUGCAGGGAGAAGGGCCUUUCCCUGCUGCUCUGGCAGCACUGAGAGCUCCAAGGAGUCCCUGGACAGAACCCCUCCCCUCCAUGUGGCUGUCACUGCACAGGGCAGGGACACUGAGGCACAGACUGAGGGCUCGUGGCUGUAAUUCACGGCUGCCCCGGGUACCAGAGGGGACAGGUUCUGCUGGCCCUACCCUGCCUCUCCCUGGCCUGGCUCUGCAGCUGAGGCAGGAGGAGCCCAGCUCACCCAGGGCUCAGCUGGGUCACUUUAACCACAAACAGGUUUCACCUGGAGCAGGCAGUCUGGGGGCAGGUCCACAACCACCCCUGCAGUUCCUUCAGGGUGUGUUUAUAAACCCACACCCCCUCACCCCAGGAGCUUUCUCUCUCUUUCUUUCCUUUUUUUUUUUAAUUUUCUUUUUCUUUCUUUUUCUUUCUUUUUUUUUCUUCUUUUUUUUCUUUUUUUUUUUUUUUUUUUUUUUUUUUUUUUUUUUUUUUUUUUUUUUUUGCCUUUGUUCUUUGGGAGCCUUAGUUUGGAGCUGA